ACACCAUUUGUCUUUAUGCUUUAUAGGUACAAUCAGAUCAGAAAGCAUUGUGCUUUAUGGCACAGUUUCCUUGGCCAAAGGAUGCUUUUGCAGCAGAGGUUUGCUGUCAGGAGGCAUUAAAGCUCUGAAGAAAAGGUUGCUGUGCACUGGGCCUGGAGACAUCACCUCACAGCAUGUCACUGGUGGUGGAUAUCUGCAAGCUUUGUGUCUGUCAAUGACUGCUCCGAAGGCUUUAUAGUCAGCUGUCCGUGGUUGUUUUGCUUUUUAGGGUGGAGGAACAGACGACAACGCACCGAUUGGAGUGAUGGUGUCCUGCUCAGAAAUGGAUGUGCUGGAUGGCAGAAGAGGAUUCUUGGCCAAGUAUGGAAUCAUCUCUGUUCCUUCACGAAGAUUCCUCAUGCUGAAGAAGAGAGAGGUUUUCUGACAACAGAUUCUUGACGAAGAAUGAGAAGAAGGUUUCUGACAUGAGAAGCCUCACGACCUGCCUCUCCCUCCUGGACUUUCUCUGCACUCUACGUGACUGCUGCCUAAGGUCAGCCACUCUGCUGCUGCUCUCCCCCCCCGAGAAGGUGUCGGAACAUCGUGCAACGGGACGACUGCCGGAUCCUGGUGCCUGGUUCAAAUGCAGUUCCUGACUUCUGCCAGCAGCACUCGCCGUUUAUCUUCCUCGCACCCAGAAACACACGACUUACAACAGAAAUCUCUCUGGAGUUGCAUUAGAGAUGGUGUGACAAACAAGAGGGACAGCACAAGGGCUGUAAAGGAGAAGCAUCCCGACCUUUGAUCCACCUCUGGUGUUUAAGAGCAAAACAUGAAGGGAAGGCAGGAGAUGUACAAUGUAAGUACCUCU
This 850-nucleotide long non-coding RNA is filed under the name Gallus gallus (chicken). Its description in RNAcentral is "long non-coding RNA NONGGAT008043". The record is from RNAcentral. Lineage: Eukaryota; Metazoa; Chordata; Aves; Galliformes; Phasianidae.